UACGAAGGGGGCUAGCGUUGUUCGGAUUUACUGGGCGUAAAGCGCACGUAGGCGGAUCGUUAAGUCGGGGGUGAAAUCCUGGAGCUCAACUCCAGAACUGCCUUCGAUACUGGCGAUCUUGAGUCCGGAAGAGGUGAGUGGAACUCCUAGUGUAGAGGUGGAAUUCGUAGAUAUUAGGAAGAACACCAGUGGCGAAGGCGGCUCACUGGCCCGGAACUGACGCUGAGGUACGAAAGCGUGGGGAGCAAACAGG
RNAcentral lists this ribosomal RNA (253 nucleotides) under uncultured bacterium. RNAcentral describes it as "partial 16S ribosomal RNA". It matches the Rfam family "Bacterial small subunit ribosomal RNA", at positions 524 to 776 of the family's 1533-position model. The record is from RNAcentral.